CCGGCACGGGUGAGUAACGCGUAUGCAACUUGCCUAUCAGGAGGGGAGAACCCGGCGAAAGUCGGACUAAUACCGCAUGAAGCAGGGAUCCCGCAUGGGAAUAUUUGCUAAAGAUUCAUCGCUGAUAGAUAGGCAUGCGUUCCAUUAGGCAGUUGGCGGGGUAACGGCCCACCAAACCGACGAUGGAUAGGGGUUCUGAGAGGAAGGUCCCCCACAUUGGUACUGAGACACGGACCAA
Molecule: ribosomal RNA, 238 nt
Filed under: uncultured bacterium
Lineage: Bacteria
Description: partial 16S ribosomal RNA
Rfam family: Bacterial small subunit ribosomal RNA
Source: RNAcentral